Molecule: ribosomal RNA, 269 nt
Filed under: uncultured prokaryote
Description: partial 16S ribosomal RNA
Rfam family: Bacterial small subunit ribosomal RNA
Source: RNAcentral
UACGGAGGUUGCAAGCGUUACUCGGUGUUACUGGGUGUAAAGGGUCCGCAGGCGGUUAAAUAAGUAAGAGGUGAAAUCUCCCGGCUCAACUGGGAAACUGCCCCUUAUACUGUUUAACUAGAGGGCAAGAGAGGAAAGCAGAACUGUCAGUGUAAGGGUGAAAUCUGUGGAUAUUGACAGGAAUGUCAGUGGCGAAGGCGGCUUUCUGGAUUGUUUCUGACGCUCAGGGACGAAAGUUAGGGGAGCAAACAGGAUUAGAUACCCCCGUA